Molecule: ribosomal RNA, 468 nt
Filed under: uncultured bacterium
Lineage: Bacteria
Description: partial 16S ribosomal RNA
Rfam family: Bacterial small subunit ribosomal RNA
Source: RNAcentral
GACGAACGCUGGCGGCGUGCUUAACACAUGCAAGUCGAACGGAAAGGCCCUGCUUUUGUGGGGUGCUCGAGUGGCGAACGGGUGAGUAACACGUGAGUAACCUGCCCUUGACUUUGGGAUAACUUCAGGAAACUGGGGCUCAUACCGGAUAGGAGCUCCUGCUGCAUGGUGGGGGUUGGAAAGUUUCGGCGUUGGGGGAUGGACUCGCGGCUUAUCAGCUUGUUUGUGGGGUAGUGGCUUACAAAGGCUUUGACGGGUAGCCGGCCUGAGAGGGUGACCGGCGACAUUGGGACUGCGAGACGGCCCAGACGCCUACGGGAGGCAGCAGUGGGGAAUAUUGCACAAUGGGCGGAAGUCUGAUGCAGCAACGCCGCGUGCGGGAUGACGGCCUUCGGGUUGUAAACCGAUUUCGCAGGUGACGAAGCGUGAGUGACGGUAAUGGGUAAAGAAGCACCGGCUAACUACGUG